CGCUGACUGUUUCAUUUUCUUUUUAUGGGAAGAGGUGAUUAUCAAAAUGUAUCUUGUGACAGCUGCCCGCCUCCAGCCUCCUCGUGAUGUGGAUUCAGUCUCAACUGCCCACUCACCUGUGAGCUCAGCCGACACAAUGGUGCCGUAGGCAGCCAGGGAGAUGCCUUGCUCCCGCAGCCUUGCCCGGAUUCCUUCCUGCAGUAUCUCCUCCUCCAGGCCCAGGCUCAACGUCUGGAGGGGUUGCAGCAGAAAAUGCAGCCGGAAAUGCACCAGGACGCUAGAGUUCCCUUCCCUACAGAAACUCCCAGAUGUCCACCAAGUCUCCUUCACCCAAUGGAAGCUCCAACUCACCUGUAAUUCAGCACCGUGCAGCCCACACAGCUUGCCUCUAACUCUGUCUUCUGAAAACUACUUACAAACUGCAACAGAAACAAGACCAGUCAAUGUUGAGACCCACAGCAUGGGCACCCCGCCACUGCAGAGGCCUGCUGUGAAAACUUCCUCCGGGAGCUUCUUGCGUUGGUAAAAGCGACACAGAGGAACUCACCCGCCCCCCCGUCCACACCCCUGACCUGGAGCAGCCUUUGUUCCACGCGUAGACACUGCCCUCCGACGCGUGACCACGGAGACACCACCAAGUUGCUUCCCCGUGUCUGCACAGGUGCCCUGGUUUUGCAAACCCAGCCAAUCCUGUAGCUACUUACCCAAAACGACUCCCAGGGUGAGGACGACAAGGCUGGUGGCCACCACGCCAACGGUGACCGCUCGACAGCACGCGGCGUCCGGAGCAGGGACCUCCUUGGUUGUCCUGGGCAUGAGGUGUACGUCAGCCACGGCGGACUCCAUGGCUCAGAUGCAUGCAGACAGCAAUCUGGAUGUCACCCAAGACGACAGAAACACGGGGUCAGAGGCUGAAGGCGUUUGUCUUCCCAUAAGCAGGAGCUGCAACUAUGCCCUUAAAA
Non-coding RNA from Saimiri boliviensis boliviensis (Bolivian squirrel monkey), 962 nucleotides. The record is from RefSeq and is a predicted model, not a curated record. Lineage: Eukaryota; Metazoa; Chordata; Mammalia; Primates; Cebidae.